RNAcentral lists this ribosomal RNA (1372 nucleotides) under uncultured bacterium. RNAcentral describes it as "bacterial SSU rRNA". It matches the Rfam family "Bacterial small subunit ribosomal RNA", at positions 28 to 1381 of the family's 1533-position model. The record is from RNAcentral.
GAUGGACGCUGGCGGCGAGCCUAAUACAUGCAAGUCGAGCGAACGGACGAGAAGCUUGCUUCUCUGAUGUUAGCGGCGGACGGGUGAGUAACACGUGGAUAACCUACCUAUAAGACUGGGAUAACUUCGGGAAACCGGAGCUAAUACCGGAUAAUAUUUUGAACCGCAUGGUUCAAAAGUGAAAGACGGUCUUGCUGUCACUUAUAGAUGGAUCCGCGCUGCAUUAGCUAGUUGGUAAGGUAACGGCUUACCAAGGCAACGAUGCAUAGCCGACCUGAGAGGGUGAUCGGCCACACUGGAACUGAGACACGGUCCAGACUCCUACGGGAGGCAGCAGUAGGGAAUCUUCCGCAAUGGGCGAAAGCCUGACGGAGCAACGCCGCGUGAGUGAUGAAGGUCUUCGGAUCGUAAAACUCUGUUAUUAGGGAAGAACAUAUGUGUAAGUAACUGUGCACAUCUUGACGGUACCUAAUCAGAAAGCCACGGCUAACUACGUGCCAGCAGCCGCGGUAAUACGUAGGUGGCAAGCGUUAUCCGGAAUUAUUGGGCGUAAAGCGCGCGUAGGCGGUUUUUUAAGUCUGAUGUGAAAGCCCACGGCUCAACCGUGGAGGGUCAUUGGAAACUGGAAAACUUGAGUGCAGAAGAGGAAAGUGGAAUUCCAUGUGUAGCGGUGAAAUGCGCAGAGAUAUGGAGGAACACCAGUGGCGAAGGCGACUUUCUGGUCUGUAACUGACGCUGAUGUGCGAAAGCGUGGGGAUCAAACAGGAUUAGAUACCCUGGUAGUCCACGCCGUAAACGAUGAGUGCUAAGUGUUAGGGGGUUUCCGCCCCUUAGUGCUGCAGCUAACGCAUUAAGCACUCCGCCUGGGGAGUACGACCGCAAGGUUGAAACUCAAAGGAAUUGACGGGGACCCGCACAAGCGGUGGAGCAUGUGGUUUAAUUCGAAGCAACGCGAAGAACCUUACCAAAUCUUGACAUCCUUUGACAACUCUAGAGAUAGAGCCUUCCCCUUCGGGGGACAAAGUGACAGGUGGUGCAUGGUUGUCGUCAGCUCGUGUCGUGAGAUGUUGGGUUAAGUCCCGCAACGAGCGCAACCCUUAAGCUUAGUCGCCAUCAUUAAGUUGGGCACUCUAAGUUGACUGCCGGUGACAAACCGGAGGAAGGUGGGGAUGACGUCAAAUCAUCAUGCCCCUUAUGAUUUGGGCUACACACGUGCUACAAUGGACAAUACAAAGGGCAGCGAAACCGCGAGGUCAAGCAAAUCCCAUAAAGUUGUUCUCAGUUCGGAUUGUAGUCUGCAACUCGACUACAUGAAGCUGGAAUCGCUAGUAAUCGUAGAUCAGCAUGCUACGGUGAAUACGUUCCCGGGUCU